GCGGAAACACUUCCGGACAGGC
Molecule: microRNA, 22 nt
Filed under: Cavia porcellus (domestic guinea pig)
Lineage: Eukaryota; Metazoa; Chordata; Mammalia; Rodentia; Caviidae
Description: Cpo-Mir-147-v1_5p* (star (passenger))
Source: RNAcentral